Small RNA from Neisseria bacilliformis ATCC BAA-1200, 92 nucleotides. It matches the Rfam family "Neisseria metabolic switch regulator b (RcoF1/NgncR163)". From Rfam's summary of the family: Sibling sRNA described and independently named in three publications. NgncR163 is N. gonorrhoeae while the others are N. meningitidis RNAs. NCBI's taxonomy places the organism in Bacteria, Pseudomonadati, Pseudomonadota, Betaproteobacteria, Neisseriales, Neisseriaceae. The record is from Rfam.
GCGUUGGACGGUUGGCAACAGCCGUUUGACAGUUUCUCCUCUAUUUCUCCUUUGUAGACUUGGCACACAUUCGCAAGAAUGUGUGCAUUUUU